GCUCCGGGAGCGCAGAGGCAGCGGGAGGAGGAGGCCGCGAGCGCCCGCACGGAGCGGUGAGAGGGGGCAGCGAGGGGCUGGGGGGCGCAGGGGGGGUGGGAGAGGGGCUCGGCUGCUGCUGUUGAGGCAGGAUGGGAAUGAAUAGACUUGACUCAGAAGGUUGUGAGAGUGAAACUUCGAUUUAUUUAAAAUACACCGCUCCUUUAUACAGAGCUCCGUGAGGACUAAAUCUAUUGAAGUGAAAACAAUCCACAGCUUUGGUGUACAGUGCUUGACACAGAACUUACCUAUAAACAAUGUGAAAAACAAGAGAGAUAAAGAAUUAUUUACAUUCUUAUUUAGCUCUUUCCCAGGCGUCUGCCUGGCUAGAAACUCUCAGUUUCUCUCUUUGACUGAAUCCGAGUCCCACACUCGGCCACCCCAGGGUUGGCUAAGAUUGCUCACAGGGGGGGUCCCACCACGCUGGAAAUCUUCAUGGUGCCCCCCCGCCCACCGAGGGGGGACCCAGUGAGGUUCCCCACCUUUGGAACACCCCUUGUACCCCCAGAACAAGGAGCCGGGGGUCCCUCCGACCCUCCCAGCCGAUGACUCCUACGAAGACACCGAACCCCCCGAGCACGGUGAGGUCUCCCCACGACCCCUCCCCAGCUCCCUGAGGUCUCCCCACGACCCCUCCCCAGCUCCCCCCGCGCCCCCCACCCGGCCUGACCAACCCCAUCCCGGCUCGCAGGCGGCGGCGACAGCGACAGCAGCCACUACGAGUCGUACGGAGAGGAGGAAGAGGAGGAGGAGGAGGAUGGGGGGGUGACGGACCGGGCCCAUUACCUGCGCUGGCCAGCGGGCACCAGCGCCGAGCCCCCCGAGCCCCCCGGGCGCCCCGAGGCGCAGCUCUGCGGUUUCCUCUGGAGGAAGCGCUGGCUGGGCCGGUGGGCCAAGCAGCUUUUCAUCGUCCGGGAGCACGUCCUGCUGGUGAGGGGCUGGCAGGAGGAUGGGUAAAGGUGGCACAGGGGCUCCGUGCCCAACUCUAACCCCUCCGUGCCCCCCUGCCCCCGCCGUGCCCACCCCGCAGUGCUUCAGGUGUGCCGCAGACCUGCAGCCGCUGCUGCAGCUGGACCUGCGCGGCUGCCGCGUCUCCUGCAAGGACAAGAGGGGCAAGAAGAUGCCCCAUGCCCUGAAGGUGGCAGGGAGGGCAGGAGAGGUGCUGGUCAUCGGCUUCCAGAGCCGGCAGCAGGCUGAGGACUGGAGGAAGGUGAUCGAGGAGGUGAGCAGCGAUGGCCCGAGCGGGCUGGCGGCUCUCGGGGUCCCAGCGCCGCCUUCCUCCAGGCCCGGCAGGGUGAGUUUGGUCCCCCCGGGAAAUAAACCCCAACCCCAUAUCCUGGGGAGAGCUGAGACCCCACAGUUUCGGGGCUCUCCCCACAGAUUCGGGGCUCCCCUCACAGAUUCGGGGCUCCCCCCACAGAUUCGGGGAUCCCCCUAUCCCCACUCCGGGCCUGCCUCACCGCAGCUCGGCAAGGAGGAAGAGGAGGAGGGGAGGAAGCGCUGCCGGCCGAGCCCCGCGCGGCGCGGAGAGGACGGCAAAGGAGGGUUCCCGGUGCUCCGGCAGCGCCUGCGGGCCGCGCUCCGUCGCGGAGCCCUGCGGGUGCUGGCGGUGCCCGGCGCUGCCCCGCGCCCGGAGGGGUGCCGGGGGUCCCCCGGGACGGCCGCCGGAUCCCCCCAAAACCUCCGCGCCCGCAUCGCCCAGCGCGGCCGGGAGCUGGCCCGGCUGCAGGCCCGUCCGGACCAGGGGAGCGAAGCCCGGCUGAGGACCCCACAGACCAGGGGGGCAGCGGAGCCCAAGAAGGGCGAGGGGCCCCCGCCGAGACCCCCGAGGCCGAGCAGCCGCCCCGCUGCCGGGGGGCUGCUGCUGCGCCGUGUGCCCACCCCCAACGCCUACAUGGACGAUCCCUCCGGGCACCCCCCGCCAGCCGGGACCCCCAAACAUCUCUCGUGCAGCGCGGAGCGGCUGCAGCAGCUGGUAACCUCUGCUGGUGCUCUGUGCCCCCCGCUCCUGCCCCUCAGGGGGGCAAAUCCACUCCCACUGUCCCUGUGCCCGUGGGUCUCACCGUCCCUGUGCCCCCGGGUACCAUCCCCGUGCCCACGGGCUUCACCAUCCGCUUCCCCCGGGCUUCACCGUGCCCGUACCCCCAGGGUUUCACCAUUGCCUUCCCCCGGGCUGUGCCAUCCCCUUGCCAUGGGCUUCACCGUGCCUGUGCCCGCGGGUUUCACCAUCCCCAUGCCCCUGGGUACCAUCCCUGUGCCCACGGGCUUCACCAUCCGCUUCCCCCGUGCUUCACCGUGCCCUCACCGCCGUUCUUCACCAUCCCUGUGCCCCCGGGUACCAUCCCCGUGCCCGUGGGUUUCACCAUCCGCUUUCCCCAGGCUGUGCCAUCCCUUUGCCACGGGCUUCACCGUGCCUGUGCCCGCGGGUUUCACCAUCCCCGUGUCCCCGUUCUUCACCGUGCCCUCGCCCCCGGGUUUCACCGUCUCCGUGUCCCCGGGCUUUACUGUGCCCUCACCCCCGGGUUUCACAAUCCCUGUGCCCCCCGGGUACCAUCCCCAUGCCCGUGGGUUUCACCACCUGCUUGCCCGCGGGCUUCACCAUCCCCUCACUCCCAUUUUUCACCAUCCCAGUGCCCCCUGGGCCGUGCCAUCACCUCACCCCCAGGUUUCACCCUCACCGUGCCCCCGGGCUUCACCGUGCCCUCACCCCCGGGUUUCACCGUGCCCUCACCCCCGUUCUUCACCAUCCCAGUGCCCCCUGGGCUCCACCAUCCCCUCACCCCCGGGUUUCACCAUCCCCUCAGCCCCGAGUUUCUCCAUCCCCGUGCCCCCGUUCUUUAUCGUGCCCUCACCCCGGGUUUCACCCUCACCGUGUCCCCGUUCUUCACCGUGCCCUCAGCCCCGGGUUUCACCGUGCGCUCACCCCCGUUCUUCUCCAUUCCCUCACCCCGGGUUUCACCAUCCCCAUCACCCCCAUUCUUCACUGUGCCCUCACCCCCGUUCUUCUCCAUUCCCUCACCCCGUUCUUCACCGUGCCCUCACCCCCGUUCUUCACCAUCCCCAUCACCCCCGGGUUUCACCCUCCCCGUGCCCCCGGGUUUCACCAUGCCCUCACCCCCAUUCUUCACCGUGCCCUCACCCCCGGGUUUCACCGUGCCCUCACCCCGGGUUUCACCAUCCCCAUCACCCCCAUUCUUCUCCAUUCCCUCGCCCCUGGGUUUCACCGUGCCCUCACCCCCGUUCUUCACCGUGCCCUCACCCCGGGUUUCACCAUCCCGUCACCCCCGGGUUUCACCGUGCCCUCACCCCGGGUUUCACCCUCACCGUGUCCCCGUUCUUCACCGUGCCCUCACCCCGGGUUUCACCCUCCCCGUGCCCCCCGGCUUCUCCCCGCAGCAGCAGAGCCUGGAGCGGGCAGUGCCAGGGCAGCGCCCCAGACCCGUGUCUGCCCUGCCCGGCUGUGCCAGCGCCGCGGGCGGUGCCCGGGCCUCGCCGGCAGGUGAGAGCGGUGGGUGGGAAUGUCCAGGGAGGCGGCGGUGCCCAGGAGAUUUGGGAUUUCUGUGUCCUCCCACCUUUCCCUUCCUGCUGA
This 3628-nucleotide long non-coding RNA is filed under the name Taeniopygia guttata (zebra finch). RNAcentral describes it as "lncRNA (ENSTGUG00000027164.1)". Lineage: Eukaryota; Metazoa; Chordata; Aves; Passeriformes; Estrildidae. The record is from RNAcentral.